This 253-nucleotide ribosomal RNA is filed under the name uncultured bacterium. RNAcentral's name for it is "partial 16S ribosomal RNA". It matches the Rfam family "Bacterial small subunit ribosomal RNA", at positions 524 to 776 of the family's 1533-position model. The record is from RNAcentral.
UACGUAGGGUGCAAAUGUUAUCCGGAUUUAUUGGGCGUGAAGAGCUCGUAGGUGGUUUUGAAAGUCAGAUAUGAAAUAUCCAGGCCCAACCUGGGGAACGUAUCUGAAACUUCAUUACUUGAGGUGUGCAGGGGAAGAUGGAACACACAGUGUAGCAGUGAAAUGCGUAGAUAUUGUGUGGAACGCCAAUGGUGAAGACAGUCUUCUGGGCACAUUCUGACACUGAGGAGCGAAAGCGUGGGGAGCGAACGGG